This 463-nucleotide ribosomal RNA is filed under the name uncultured bacterium. RNAcentral's name for it is "partial 16S ribosomal RNA". It matches the Rfam family "Bacterial small subunit ribosomal RNA", at positions 28 to 506 of the family's 1533-position model. The record is from RNAcentral.
GACGAACGCUGGCGGCGUGCUUAACACAUGCAAGUCGAACGAUGAAGCCAGCUUGCUGGUGGAUUAGUGGCGAACGGGUGAGUAACACGUGGGUGAUCUGCCCCAAACUUUGGGAUAAGCCUGGGAAACUGGGUCUAAUACCGAAUAUGACCGAUACUCGCAUGGGUGUUGGUGGAAAGCUCCGGCGGUUUGGGAUGGGCCCGCGGCCUAUCAGCUUGUUGGUGGGGUAAUGGCCUACCAAGGCGACGACGGGUAGCCGGCCUGAGAGGGCGACCGGCCAAACGGGGACUAGGAAAGGGCCCGGACCCCUACGGGAGGAAGGGGGGGGAAAAAUUGAAAAAGGGGGGAAAGCCUGAUGGAGGGGCCCCGGGGGGGGGAAGACGGCCUUGGGGUUGGAAACCUUUUUCACCGGGGACGAAGGGAAAGUAAGGGAACCUGGAAAAAAAGCACGGCCAAACUAGGU